RNAcentral lists this ribosomal RNA (22 nucleotides) under Armillaria mellea. RNAcentral's name for it is "partial small subunit ribosomal RNA". Lineage: Eukaryota; Fungi; Basidiomycota; Agaricomycetes; Agaricales; Physalacriaceae. The record is from RNAcentral.
AGUGACCUGCGGAAGGUCAUUA